AGAGUAUGAUACUGGCUCAGAACGAACGCCAGCGGCGUGGAUAAGGCUUGCAAGUCGCACGGCAAACCAGCAGCAAUGUUGGGAUUAAGUGGCGAAAGGGCUAGUAAUACGUGGAUAAUCUGCCUCCGAGACGGGGAAAACAGCUCGAAAGGGCUGCUAAUUCCCGAUGAUGCCGCGCGACGGGAGUCGCGUGGUCAAAGGUGGGGACCGAAAGGCCUAUCGCUCGGUGAGGAGUUCACGUCCUAUCAGUUAGUUGGCAGGGUAAUGGCCUACCAAGACAAUGACGGGUAGCGGGCCUGAGAGGGUGGUCCGCAGCACUGGGACUGAGACACUGCCCAGACUCCUACGGGAGGCUGCUUCGAGGAUCAUUUGCAAUGGGCGCAAGCCUGACAAUGCGACGCCGCGUGGAGGAUGAAGGCCUUCGGGUUGUAAACUCCUGUCACCCGUGAAGAAAUGGAUCAUGGCUAAUAUUCAUGGUUCUUGACGUUAGCGGGAGAGGAAGCUACGGCUAACUACGUGCCAGCAGCCGCGGUAAGACGUAGGUAGCAAGCGUUGUUCGGAAUCACUGGGCUUAAAGCGCGCGUAGGCGGCGUCGUAUGUCGGGUGUGAAAUCCCUUGGCUCAACCAAGGAAUUGUGCCCGAAACUACGGUGCUAGAGUGUAGAAGGGGACAGCGGAAUUCCUGGUGGAGCGGUGAAAUGCUUAGAUAUCAGGAGGAACACCGGUGGCGUAGGCGGCUGUCUGGUCUGCUACUGACGCUGUGGCGCGAAAGCCAGGGGAGCGAACGGGAUUAGAUACCCCGGUAGUCCUGUCCCUAAACGAUGGGCACUACGUAGAGGGAAGACCGAUCUUUUCUCUGCCGGAGCGAAAGUAUUAAGUGCCCCGCCUGGGGAGUACGAUCGCAAGGUUGAAACUCAAAGUAAUUGACGGGGGCUCGCACAAGCGGUGGAGCAUGUUGCUUAAUUCGAUGUACGCGAGGAACCUUACCUGGGCUUGACAUGCACGGAUUAGCUCCAAGAAACUGGAGUAACAGCCGCAAGGUUGGAACGUGCACAGGUGUUGCAUGGCUGUCGUCAGUUCGUGUCGUGAGAUGUCGGGUUAAGUCCCUUAACGAGCGAAACCCUUAUCCUUAGUUACCAGCGGUUCGGCCGGGGACUCUAGGGAGACUGCCGGUGUCAAACCGGAGGAAGGUGGGGACGAGGUCAAGUCAUCAUGGCCCUUAUGCCCAGGGCUGCAAACGUGCCACAAUGGCGGAGAUAAAGGGAAGCGAGACCGUAAGGUGGAGCCAAUCCCAAAAAUUCCGCCCCAGUACGGAUCGAGGGCUGCAACCCGCCCUCGUGAACGUCGGAAUCGCUAGUAAUCGCGCAUCAGCACGGCGCGGUGAAUGUGUUCCCGAGCCUUGUACACACCGCCCGUCAAGCCAUCCGAGCAGGAAGCACCCGAAGUCAGCAUUUAUACCGCUGCCGAAGGUGAGUCCAGUAAGGAGGACUAAGUCGGAACAAGGUA
Molecule: ribosomal RNA, 1505 nt
Filed under: metagenome
Description: bacterial SSU rRNA
Rfam family: Bacterial small subunit ribosomal RNA
Source: RNAcentral